CGAAUCCUGAUGUGUACGUUAGUUACACAUUCUGUUUUGACCGAACACUAUAUGUUUGGGAGUCUGAGUUUUUGGACUGCGCACAUGCCCUUUGCGGGGACUUGCAACGCCCGAAACAGGGCACCCACCUGCUGUAGAGCGGGUUCAAAACAUAUGUUUUACAACGACGGCACGAUUGGGAUUCGC
Molecule: non-coding RNA, 186 nt
Organism: Domibacillus iocasae
Lineage: Bacteria; Bacillati; Bacillota; Bacilli; Caryophanales; Bacillaceae
Rfam family: 6S / SsrS RNA
About the family: E. coli 6S RNA was the first non coding RNA to be sequenced, but its function was unknown until recently. It consists of 184 nucleotides that fold into an extended hairpin structure with a large single-stranded internal bulge.
Source: Rfam